RNAcentral lists this ribosomal RNA (460 nucleotides) under uncultured bacterium. Its description in RNAcentral is "partial 16S ribosomal RNA". It matches the Rfam family "Bacterial small subunit ribosomal RNA", at positions 338 to 795 of the family's 1533-position model. The record is from RNAcentral.
CCUACGGGGGGCAGCAGUGAGGAAUAUUGGUCAAUGGACGAGAGUCUGAACCAGCCAAGUAGCGUGAAGGAUGACUGCCCUAUGGGUUGUAAACUUCUUUUAUAUGGGAAUAAAACAGGGUAUGCAUACCCUCUUGUAUGUACCAUAUGAAUAAGGAUCGGCUAACUCCGUGCCAGCAGCCGCGGUAAUACGGAGGAUCCGAGCGUUAUCCGGAUUUAUUGGGUUUAAAGGGAGCGUAGGUGGAUUGUUAAGUCAGUUGUGAAAGUUUGCGGCUCAACCGUAAAAUUGCAGUUGAAACUGGCAGGCUUGAGUACAGUAGAGGUGGGCGGAAUUCGUGGUGUAGCGGUGAAAUGCUUAGAUAUCACGAAGAACUCUGAUUGCGAAGGCAACUCACUGGACUGCAACUGACACUGAGGCUCGAAAGUGUGGGUAUCAAACAGGAUUAGAUACCCCGGUAGUC